UACAGAGGUCCCAAGCGUUGUUCGGAUUCAUUGGGCGUAAAGGGUGCGUAGGCGGCGUCGUAAGUCGGGUGUGAAAUCUCGGGGCUUAACUCCGAAACUGCAUUCGAUACUGCGGUGCUUGAGGACUGGAGAGGAGACUGGAAUUUACGGUGUAGCGGUGAAAUGCGUAGAUAUCAGGAGGAACACCGGUGGUGUAGACGGCUUUCUGGACCGUAACUGACGCUGAGACACGAAAGCGUGGGUAGCAAACAGG
RNAcentral lists this ribosomal RNA (253 nucleotides) under uncultured bacterium. RNAcentral describes it as "partial 16S ribosomal RNA". It matches the Rfam family "Bacterial small subunit ribosomal RNA", at positions 524 to 776 of the family's 1533-position model. The record is from RNAcentral.